This 497-nucleotide ribosomal RNA is filed under the name uncultured bacterium. Its description in RNAcentral is "partial 16S ribosomal RNA". It matches the Rfam family "Bacterial small subunit ribosomal RNA", at positions 28 to 507 of the family's 1533-position model. The record is from RNAcentral.
GAUGAACGCUGGCGGCGUGCCUAAUACAUGCAAGUCGAGCGAACAGACGAGGAGCUUGCUCCUCUGACGUUAGCGGCGGACGGGUGAGUAACACGUGGAUAACCUUCCUAUAAGACUGGGAUAACUUCGGGAAACCGGAGCUAAUACCGGAUAAUAUAUUGAACCGCAUGGUUCAAUAGUGAAAGACGGUUUUGCUGUCACUUAUAGAUGGAUCCGCGCCGCAUUAGCUAGUUGGUAAGGUAACGGCUUACCAAGGCAACGAUGCGUAGCCGACCUGAGAGGGUGAUCGGCCACACUGGAACUGAGACACGGUCCAGACUCCUACGGGAGGCAGCAGUAGGGAAUCUUCCGCAAUGGGCGAAAGCCUGACGGAGCAACGCCGCGUGAGUGAUGAAGGUCUUCGGAUCGUAAAACUCUGUUAUUAGGGAAGAACAAAUGUGUAAGUAACUAUGCACGUCUUGACGGUACCUACUCAGAAAGCCACGGCUAACUACGUG